RNAcentral lists this microRNA precursor (98 nucleotides) under Capra hircus (goat). RNAcentral's name for it is "Capra hircus miR-582 stem-loop (ENSCHIG00000009536.1)". The stretch from base 5 to 87 matches the Rfam family "mir-582 microRNA precursor family". The record is from RNAcentral. Lineage: Eukaryota; Metazoa; Chordata; Mammalia; Artiodactyla; Bovidae.
AUCUGUACUCUUUGGUUACAGUUGUUCAACCAGUUACUAAUCUAACUAAUUGUAACCAGUUGAACAACUGAACCCAAAGGGUGCAAAGUGAAAACAUU